This 564-nucleotide ribosomal RNA is filed under the name Paragyrodon sphaerosporus. RNAcentral describes it as "partial small subunit ribosomal RNA". It matches the Rfam family "Bacterial small subunit ribosomal RNA", at positions 409 to 913 of the family's 1533-position model. Lineage: Eukaryota; Fungi; Basidiomycota; Agaricomycetes; Boletales; Gyrodontaceae. The record is from RNAcentral.
CUAGCUNNNUNNNNUCAUAGAUNUGUCAUUUAUGAUAAGGUAAGAGAAAAUAAUGAUAUUAUCUUACUAUUAGUGUCGUCUAAAACUGGUGCCAGAAGACUCGGUAAGACCAGAGACGCAAACGUUAGUCAUCAUAAUCAGGCGUAAAGGGUUUGUAGGCGGCUUUAAAUAAUAUAGUUUAAUAAAAUAGCUAUAAAAAAUAUUUUAUUUUUUUUUUACAAAUUAUAUUAUAAUUAAAGCUAGAAUCUAAUAGAGGGUGAGCUGAACAACAUUUUAAUUAGGAUUAACAACUGAACAAAUAAUUUAGAGUACUAAAGGUUAAAGCUAUUUAUCCACUAAAGAUUGACGCUCAGAAACGAAGGAGAGGAUCGAAAACAAGAUUAGAGACCUAAUUAUCCCUCUCAGUCAACGAUGAAUGGCAGUUGCUAAUUUAAAUAAUAUAUUAUAUAUAUUAAAUAUAUUUAUUAUAUAAUUUAUUAUCAAUUUUAUAUUAGUGACGAGGUUAACACGAUAACCAUUCCGCCUUGUGAGUAAGACUGCAAAGUUGAAAANNAAAAAAUUAGU